GUGGGGAAUAUUGGACAAUGGGCGAAAGCCUGAUCCAGCCAUGCCGCGUGUGUGAAGAAGGUCUUCGGAUUGUAAAGCACUUUAAGUUGGGAGGAAGGGCAGUAAGCUAAUACCUUGCUGUUUUGACGUUACCGACAGAAUAAGCACCGGCUAACUUCGUGCCAGCAGCCGCGGUAAUACGAAGGGUGCAAGCGUUAAUCGGAAUUACUGGGCGUAAAGCGCGCGUAGGUGGUUCAGCAAGUUGGAGGUGAAAUCCCCGGGCUCAACCUGGGAACUGCCUCCAAAAAUACUGAGCUAGAGUACGGUAGAGGGUAGUGGAAUUUCCUGUGUAGCGGUGAAAUGCGUAGAUAUAGGAAGGAACACCAGUGGCGAAGGCGACUACCUGGACUGAUACUGACACUGAGGUGCGAAAGCGUGGGGAGCAAACAGGAUUAGAUACCCGGGUAGUCC
Molecule: ribosomal RNA, 450 nt
Filed under: uncultured bacterium
Lineage: Bacteria
Description: partial 16S ribosomal RNA
Rfam family: Bacterial small subunit ribosomal RNA
Source: RNAcentral